UGGAACCAGUGAUGACAACUGGUGACGUACAGGUCAUGGAUGAUAAAUAUGUGUCUGGAAGUCUGAGGCCAC
This is a small nucleolar RNA of Choloepus didactylus (southern two-toed sloth), 72 nucleotides long. RefSeq annotates it as small nucleolar RNA SNORD113/SNORD114 family. The record is from RefSeq and is a predicted model, not a curated record. Lineage: Eukaryota; Metazoa; Chordata; Mammalia; Pilosa; Megalonychidae. The transcript has a single exon.